GUCAUGGCUCAGGAUGAACGCUAGCUACAGGCUUAACACAUGCAAGUCGGGGGGCAGCAUGAACUUAGCUUGCUAAGUUUGAUGGCGACCGGCGCACGGGUGAGUAACACGUAUCCAACCUUCCGUUUACUCAGGGAUAGCCUUUCGAAAGAAAGAUUAAUACCUGAUAGUAUGGUGAGAUUGCAUGAUAGCACCAUUAAAGAUUUAUUGGUAAACGAUGGGGAUGCGUUCCAUUAGG
RNAcentral lists this ribosomal RNA (238 nucleotides) under uncultured bacterium. RNAcentral's name for it is "partial 16S ribosomal RNA". It matches the Rfam family "Bacterial small subunit ribosomal RNA", at positions 16 to 245 of the family's 1533-position model. The record is from RNAcentral.